Molecule: ribosomal RNA, 344 nt
Filed under: Streptococcus sp. oral taxon C08
Lineage: Bacteria; Bacillati; Bacillota; Bacilli; Lactobacillales; Streptococcaceae
Description: bacterial SSU rRNA
Rfam family: Bacterial small subunit ribosomal RNA
Source: RNAcentral
CUGGUAGCGGGGGAUAACUAUUGGAAACGAUAGCUAAUACCGCAUAAGAGUAGAUGUCGCAUGACAUUUGCUUAAAAAGGUGCAAUUGCAUCACUACCAGAUGGACCUGCGUUGUAUUAGCUAGUUGGUGAGGUAACGGCUCACCAAGGCAACGAUACAUUGCCGACCUGAGAGGGUGAUCGGCCACACUGGGACUGAGACACGGCCCAGACUCCUACGGGAGGCAGCAGUAGGGAAUCUUCGGCAAUGGACGGAAGUCUGACCGAGCAACGCCGCGUGAGUGAAGAAGGUUUUCGGAUCGUAAAGCUCUGUUGUAAGAGAAGAACGAGUGUGAGAGUGGAAAG